GGAGGGGGCAAGCGUUGUUCGGAAUUACUGGGCGUAAAGGGCGCGUAGGCGGUAUGCCAUGUCAGGGGUGAAAGGCCUGGGCUCAACCCAGGAACUGCCUUUGAAACUGGCAAACUAGAGUCCGAUAGAGGAUGGCGGAAUUCCCAGUGUAGAGGUGAAAUUCGUAGAUAUUGGGAAGAACACCAGUGGCGAAGGCGGCCAUCUGGAUCGGCACUGACGCUGAGGCGCGAAAGCGUGGGGAGCAAACAGGGAUUAGAUACCCUGGUAGUCCACGCCGUAAACGAUGUGUGCUAGACGUUGGGGGGUCUUAGACCCUGGGUGUCGUAGCUAACGCGUUAAGCACACCGCCUGGGGGAGUACGGCCGCAAGGUU
This 372-nucleotide ribosomal RNA is filed under the name uncultured organism. RNAcentral's name for it is "partial 16S ribosomal RNA". It matches the Rfam family "Bacterial small subunit ribosomal RNA", at positions 527 to 895 of the family's 1533-position model. The record is from RNAcentral.